AAGACUCUAAUUUCAAGGAUCACUUCUAUAGUGCAUUACUAGAGAAGACUGCCAGAUCAAUGCUCUAAGUCACACAAAAUUACCAGUCAUUCCUAAGG
RNAcentral lists this small nucleolar RNA (98 nucleotides) under Vicugna pacos (alpaca). RNAcentral's name for it is "Small nucleolar RNA U3 (ENSVPAG00000017814.1)". The record is from RNAcentral. Lineage: Eukaryota; Metazoa; Chordata; Mammalia; Artiodactyla; Camelidae.